RNAcentral lists this ribosomal RNA (253 nucleotides) under uncultured bacterium. Its description in RNAcentral is "partial 16S ribosomal RNA". It matches the Rfam family "Bacterial small subunit ribosomal RNA", at positions 524 to 776 of the family's 1533-position model. The record is from RNAcentral.
UACGUAGGCAGCAAGCGUUGUUCGGAAUUACUGGGCGUAAAGAGUGUGUAGGCGGUGCUCUAAGUUUGUCGUGAAAUCUCCCGGCUUAACUGGGAGGGUGCGGCGAAAACUGGAGUGCUAGAGGGUGGGAGAGGAAAGCGGAAUUCCUGGUGUAGCGGUGAAAUGCGUAGAUAUCAGGAGGAACACCGGUGGCGAAGGCGGGUCUCUGGGCCGAUACUGACGCUGAGGAGCGAAAGCGUGGGGAGCGAACAGG